This 713-nucleotide long non-coding RNA is filed under the name Rattus norvegicus (Norway rat). Its description in RNAcentral is "long non-coding RNA NONRATT014386". The record is from RNAcentral. Lineage: Eukaryota; Metazoa; Chordata; Mammalia; Rodentia; Muridae.
CGUGCGUGACAUGAUGGCCAACUUCCACUUCAACGACCUGGAGCUGUAAGUCCAUCCAGAUGAGGAUGUGACAUCUGGAGCUGCAGCAGCUGUUCUGCAACCUCGAGACAACACAUUCCAAAAUGAAGAGUCACACUCUAGAAACAGUGAAGCAGAGGAUGCCCUAGGCCUUCGGAACCAUCCCACCUCCAGGCCUGUCUCCUGAGAGGCCGUCGAUGGUCAGCCUCAGCCUCAGAACUGUUGCUCAGACUUUCAACUGAAUCCAUUUCUAAUGGUGAAAAAUAAAACCAGUCCCUCACACCAUCUGUGGAUCAUCAUCGGGAAAAGUAACUUUUUGAGACAGGGUCUCACUGUGUAGCCCGUAGUGGCCUGGAGCUUGCUCUGUAGUCCAGGCUGCCCUUGCUCUGUAGACCAGGCUGGCCUCAGAUCAGCCUGCCUCUGUCUCCCAAAUGUUAGGAUUAAAAGAGUGUACCACCACACCUAACCUGCAUGUCAUCGAAACAGCUUUAAAGUCUGGCCUGUCGCCCAGGUAGGGGCGAUAGUGUAUCCCGCUCCUCCCGCUCCUCCCUGGUCCCUCCUCAGUCUCACAAGAGGUGCCUGCCUAUGUGUCCUGUGCAGAAUUGUGGGUUCUUUGUGCAUUUCCAUGUAGUCAGGGAGAAAACUUGUUUGUUGCCUCUCAGAGAAAGUUCAAAAGAAAUGAAAGACUUUCAAAC